CGUUCCAAGGGGUUGGGUUUA
RNAcentral lists this microRNA (21 nucleotides) under Mesocestoides corti. RNAcentral's name for it is "mco-miR-2a-3p". Its record names the gene mco-miR-2a-3p. Lineage: Eukaryota; Metazoa; Platyhelminthes; Cestoda; Cyclophyllidea; Mesocestoididae. The record is from miRBase by way of RNAcentral.